AAGCUUGCUUGGUGGAUCAGUGGCGAACGGGUGAGUAACACGUGAGCAACCUGCCCUGGACUCUGGGAUAAGCGCUGGAAACGGCGUCUAAUACUGGAUAUGAGCUUCUACCGCAUGGUGGGGGUUGGAAAGAUUUUUCGGUCUGGGAUGGGCUCGCGGCCUAUCAGCUUGUUGGUGAGGUAAUGGCUCACCAAGGCGUCGACGGGUAGCCGGCCUGAGAGGGUGACCGGCCACACUGGGACUGAGACACGGCCCAGACUCCUACGGGAGGCAGCAGUGGGGAAUAUUGCACAAUGGGCGGAAGCCUGAUGCAGCAACGCCGCGUGAGGGAUGACGGCCUUCGGGUUGUAAACCUCUUUUAGCAGGGAAGAAGCGAAAGUGACGGUACCUGCAGAAAAAGCGCCGGCUAACUACGUGCCAGCAGCCGCGGUAAUACGUAGGGCGCAAGCGUUAUCCGGAAUUAUUGGGCGUAAAGAGCUCGUAGGCGGUUUGUCGCGUCUGCUGUGAAAUCCCGAGGCUCAACCUCGGGCCUGCAGUGGGUACGGGCAGACUAGAGUGCGGUAGGGGAGAUUGGAAUUCCUGGUGUAGCGGUGGAAUGCGCAGAUAUCAGGAGGAACACCGAUGGCGAAGGCAGAUCUCUGGGCCGUAACUGACGCUGAGGAGCGAAAGGGUGGGGAGCAAACAGGCUUAGAUACCCUGGUAGUCCACCCCGUAAACGUUGGGAACUAGU
RNAcentral lists this ribosomal RNA (730 nucleotides) under bacterium SCSIO13208. RNAcentral describes it as "bacterial SSU rRNA". It matches the Rfam family "Bacterial small subunit ribosomal RNA", at positions 76 to 820 of the family's 1533-position model. The record is from RNAcentral.